GACGAACGCUGGCGGCGUGCUUAACACAUGCAAGUCGAACGGAAAGGCCUGCUUUCCCUUGUGGAUUGCGGGUACUCGCGUGGCGAACGGGUGAGUAACACGUGAGUGAUCUGCCCCCAACUUGGGUAUAAGCCUGGGAAACUGGGUCUAAUUCCCGAUAGGACUGCAGGGUGGUGCCUGUGGUGGAAAACGAUUUUCUAGUGGUUGGGGAUGAGCUCGCGGCCUAUCAGCUUGUUGGUGGGGUAAUGGCCUACCAAGGCGGCGACGGGUAGCCGGCCUGAGAGGGUGGACGGCCACAUUGGGACUGAGAUACGGCCCAGACUCCUACGGGAGGCAGCAGUGGGGAAUAUUACACAAUGGGCGGAAGCCUGAUGCAGCGACGCCGCGUGGGGGAUGACGGCCUUCGGGUUGUAAACUCCUUUCGACCGCGAGGAAGCCACCUGGUUGGAAGGGUGGUGACGGUAGUGGUAGAAGAAGCACCGGCUAACUACGUG
Molecule: ribosomal RNA, 494 nt
Filed under: uncultured bacterium
Lineage: Bacteria
Description: partial 16S ribosomal RNA
Rfam family: Bacterial small subunit ribosomal RNA
Source: RNAcentral